UAGGCAAGGCAGCAGGCGCGCAAAUUACCCACUCCCGGCACGGGGAGGUAGUGACGAAAAAUAACGAUACGGGACUCAUCCGAGGCCCCGUAAUCGGAAUGAGUACACUUUAAAUCCUUUAACAAGGAUCAAUUGGAGGGCAAGUCUGGUGCCAGCAGCCGCGGUAAUUCCAGCUCCAAUAGCGUAUAUUAAAGUUGUUGCGGUUAAAAAGCUCGUAGUUGAAUCUGUGUGCCACGCUGACGGUUCUCCGCUCGCGGCGAAACUGAUCAGACUGUGGCACGUCCUACCGGUGGGCUUAGCUCCUUCGCGGGAGCGGUCCAAAAUGAAUCCCAUCGCGGUGCUCUUUACUGAGUGCCGAGGUGGGCCGGUACGUNUACUUUGAACAAAUUAGAGUGCUUAAAGCAGGNUACCAGUACGCCUGAAUAUUCCUGUGCAUGGAAUAAUGGAAAAGGACCUCGGUUGCUAUUUUGUUGGUUUUCGGAAGAGCGAGGUAAUGAUUAAUAGGGACAGCUUG
This 514-nucleotide ribosomal RNA is filed under the name Brachyserphus abruptus. RNAcentral's name for it is "bacterial SSU rRNA". It matches the Rfam family "Eukaryotic small subunit ribosomal RNA", at positions 417 to 885 of the family's 1831-position model. Lineage: Eukaryota; Metazoa; Arthropoda; Insecta; Hymenoptera; Proctotrupidae. The record is from RNAcentral.